GCGGAGGAAAAGAAACUAACAAGGCUUCCCCUAGUAACUGCGAGUGAAGCGGGAAAAGCUCAAAUUUAAAAUCUGGCAGUCUUUGGCUGUCCGAGUUGUAAUCUAGAGAAGUGUUGCCCACACUGGACCGUGUAUAAGUCUUCUGGAAUGAAGCGUCAUAGAGGGUGAGAAUCCCGUCUUUGACAUGGACUCCCAGUGUAUUGUGGCGUGCUCUCAAAGAGUCGAGUUGUUUGGGAAUGCAGCUCUAAAUGGGUGGUAACCUCCAUCUAAAGCUAAAUAUUGGCGAGAGACCGAUAGUGAACAAGUACCGUGAGGGAAAGAUGAAAAGAACUUUGGAAAGAGAGUUAAACAGUACGUGAAAUUGUUGAAAGGGAAACGCUUGAAGUCAGUCACAUUGGCCAGGGAUCAAGCCAGCUCUUUUGUUGGGUGUAUUUCCUGGUUUGAUGGGCCAAUGUCAGUUUUGACUGCUAGAGAAGGACAGAGGGAAUGUGGCACCUUCCGGGGUGUGUUUUUAUAGCCUUUUGUCAUAUAUAGCAGUUGGGACUGAGGAAUGCAGCGCGCCUACAAGGCCGGGUUUCGACCACGUUCGCGCUUUGGAUGUUGGCAAUAAUGGCUUUAAUCGACCCGUCU
Molecule: ribosomal RNA, 630 nt
Filed under: Amanita yuaniana
Lineage: Eukaryota; Fungi; Basidiomycota; Agaricomycetes; Agaricales; Amanitaceae
Description: LSU rRNA
Rfam family: Eukaryotic large subunit ribosomal RNA
Source: RNAcentral